CAAUAACUUCAAAGACAGUGUGCAGAUGAUUUUGAAAUAUUUUUGAUGGACCACUCCUGGAUGAAUGAGGGAUUACACCGACUCAUCACUAAGAGAGAUCCACUGUGUAUUGUUCUCCAUGGUGCUCUCCAGCCUCUGUAUCUUCUGCGUGGACCAGUCCGAGUCCUGGGUCGUGGGGGAGUCUCUCUGGACCACACUGGCUCCCGGUCUCACCCCAGGGACCUGUCCUCUUCCCUGACAACUUUCCAGUUCCGGCAGCACGAAUGUGUAACUGCACUGUCCGUGUUGGAUCCUGUGCAGCCUCCUCUUCUUCUCCGCUCCUCCACCAGUUUUGUCUCUCCUCUGGUUCCUUCCAAGUCCUCUGUCAGAAGAAGUGGAAGAAGAUCCUGCAGCAUCAGCAACAGUGGUUAAAGUCCAGAGAAUGAGUAGUAAGAUCCAAUAAGGACUGCAAUGCCUCAUGACUUUCCUUUGAAUGAAGUUUGAAGUUCUUAAUGGAAAAAGAGCUGUUGAGGAGGACCAAAAUGGAGGAAGGACCCGGGGUGAAGUGAGACAAGAGGAGAGUGACACAACACAGCAGUAAUAAUUAUUUAUGAGGCCCUCUGUCCAUGUCCUAACUCAAGGAUACACAGCAGACCUCCUGAGACCAGACCUGGGACUUUACAAGACAUGAAGGACCGGUCUGGGGUCUGGACUAGAUCCCAGAUUAGUCACUUGGAAGAGUCUUUUUUGGCAUAAAUCAUUCAUAAAUUAACUUAAUUUGUUUCUAAAUGUGCAAAGAUAACAGAGCGGUUAAAUGUAGUUAGUUGGACCA
Molecule: long non-coding RNA, 811 nt
Organism: Boleophthalmus pectinirostris (great blue-spotted mudskipper)
Lineage: Eukaryota; Metazoa; Chordata; Actinopteri; Gobiiformes; Gobiidae
Exons: 3
Source: RefSeq, a predicted model, not a curated record